Molecule: RNA transcript, 9511 nt
Organism: Malaya genurostris
Lineage: Eukaryota; Metazoa; Arthropoda; Insecta; Diptera; Culicidae
Exons: 2
Source: RefSeq, a predicted model, not a curated record
UGAAAACGCGAAACCGGAUUCUGCAUUCCUAUACUACGACUACUUCUAUUACUCCGCAGAUCAUCGUAUGGAUUUGGGUAAAUUGCAUAAGACUCUGAAUGAAACGGAUGUAGUGGUGUUAGAGAUCGUAUAUUUGAGAAACUUGCAAACUUAUUCGGGUUCGACCACUGUACCGAUCUCGGAGGACCCCCGGAUGUGAAAUGAGCUGAAAGGUUGUUCACGGGGGGCGUUCUAUCGGUUGUACGUUCCACAGAAUCAGUCAAACUAUCGUUCUGGAAGUAGCCUGGAUGUGGUGUAUUAUUAACCUCACAUAAAGUAGACAUUCUUGGAUGUCCGGUAUUACCCACACCUGUUAGAUCUACUGUCUCAUUAGAUAAGUUUCUCGCCGUAUCAAAACGUACUUGCCGUGAUUGAUGUAUGCGAGACGAUACUUGAUACCGCGGUGUCGACCACGUGGGUGGUAAAAGUCCCCAAGAUGCACACGUGACUACUGCAGCACUAGUAACUAUUGUCGUUGGUGAUGCCGAUACAGCCGUUUGCCCAACAGAGAGACUGUUUAUAUGUAUAAUUGAUUCUACAUCACUGUUGUUGCCGCGGAGUCAACACGAUUGGCAACACGGCUGAGCGAGGAAACGAACACUGACAUUUCGGACAGCAAGGAGGAAGUGACUUCGAGCAAGCAGUGAUCGUAGUCUGAUAUAAUACGAAUAUAAUUGAUUUUUGUUCAAUUAGAUGGUAAGAAAAUGUUUGACACAGUUUAUUUGCAUUAAUGCUUUAACGAGUGUAGUAACAGGGUUAUUGGAUUCUUUAUGCCACUGAUGCUCUUGCCGUCAGUUUGAUUUAAUUACACUAUUUUGUAAGUACUGGUUGAAGUAAUUAUUCGGGCAUAUUAUAAUAAAAAUGAAUUAUUCCAGUUUGAAGCGUAAAUACAUGUACAGCUAUCAAAAAUAGUGUUUCAUUCGGUUCUGUAGGAACAAACUUCAAAAAAAUAUGCAGCACGAGGAAGAAUUGAACAUAACCCCACCGUCGAGCCAAACGUUCAGCUGCGUGGCUUGUUAGCGACCGGACUCCGCAGAUAAUUUAGUGCAAUGCGAUAAAUGUAACUGCUGGUGGCAUUAUUCAUGCGCUGGCGUGACGGACUCUGUAGAGGGGCGAGAUUGGACGUGUUCAAGGUGCCUCCCCGCUCCAUCGAAGUCUAGUUCAAACAAGUCCGGAUCUAGCCGUAAAGCCCGGUUGGAGCUAAGUUUGCAACGUCUGGAGGAACAAAAGUCACUAGCAAAAAAGCAGCUAGAGCUGGACUUAGAACAACGGUUCCUUACUAAAAAAUUUCAUUCACUGGAACAAAGUAUUCUUGAAGAAGAAAGUGUCGGGAACAUGAGUGUUCGUAGUCGAAUUGAUGAGAUCGAGAAUCGAGACCGAGCAAAUCACGUUUCACAGUGGGUCGAUCAGCAGGCGAUGUCGGUUCCAAAUUCGGAACCAGCUGUUCAGUCGAACUUAGUUAUCAGAGAUGUUUGCAUCCCAACCGUUUUUGUAAACGGGCGACGAGAGGUUCAAUCGUUUCAACAGACUCAAGAAGGUGUCUCAGUGCAGUUACUCGAACGGCGGUGCUGUUCCUACCGGCGCGGUUCCUGCCACUACGGCUCCAACUGGUGCGCUCCCUGUCAGCGUUGAUCUUAUCGGCACAGUUCCUUUGAACGCAAUUCCUACCGGUAAGGUUUCAGCCGGCGUGAAUCCCGUCGGCAAAUUUCCUGUAGGCGCUGUUCCCGUGGGCGAUGCUUCUGCAGGCGCAGUUCACAACACAAUUCCUGUAGGCGCAGCUCCCACCAGCACGGUUUCUACCGGCACAACUGCUGUUGGCGCUGUUCCUGUUGGUGCAAGUGAUUUCAACCCAAUACCUACUAGCACGGUUAUUCCCGGCAUGGCUCCCGUCGGUGCUGUUCCUGUUGGCGCGAGUUAUUUCAACUCAAUUCCUGUCGGCGCGGUUCCUACCAGCACAAUUCCUACUGGUGCGGUUCCUAUUGGCAUGUUUCCCACGGGAAUGUUAUCCAAUAAUUUCCACAAUCAAUUGACACAACAGCGCAUAAGUGAAACAGUUCCAGCGCCGUUGCUCCCGCCACCAGCAGUACAAAAUGAAAAAGGUUUCAGUUUCGCACAUCCAUAUGAUCAGCUGCGGAAUUUUCCCGCGCACUCAUCGUAUGCCAUACCUACCGGUAGUAACGAAAUUCCAUUCAGGACAGUCUCGACUCGUAGGCCUUCCCCAGAGCAAAUAGCUGCUCGGCAUGUGAUGCCUAGCGAUUUGCCGGAAUUCUCAGGAGAUCCCGAAGAGUGGCCUAUCUUCAUAAGUAGUUUCAACAAUUCAACUCUGGGCGAAAAUCUUGCUCGAUUACAACGAUGUCUGAAAGGCGAAGCCUUAAAGUCAGUACGGUACUACUUGUUGAGCCCAGCAUCAGUUCCUGAUGUCAUUAGGACACUUCAGACACUCUACGGUAGACCUGAGAUCAUUAUUAAUAAGUUGAUUAGGAAUGUACGGGAUUGUCCUACUCCAAAGAGUGAACGGCUAGAGACGCUCAUCGAAUUAGGUUUAACCGUCAGAAAUCUAACGCAACAUCUCAUCUCAGCAGGCCAACAUGAUCACCUCUCCAAUCCCGUUCUCCUGCAAGAGCUCGUUGAAAAGCUGCCGGCGAAUGUUAAUGGGCUCAGCAUUUGGCACAUCAUUCCGUACCCACGCUAAAAUUAUUUAGCGAUUUCAUGUCGUCAGUGAUAGAAUCCGUUAGCAAAGUGGUAUUGUUUGUAGGAAAUCGUGGUAAACCGGAGAAGAGUGGACCUGGGAAAAAAGGUUUCCUGCAUGCUCACAGUGAAAAUACGGUAUCACCGAAGAAGGAUGUGUAACGAGCAGAUUAUCCAAGAAAAUGCUUAGUUUGUGAAAGAGGAGACCAUCGCGUCAGAGACUGUGCAAAAUUAAAAGAGAGUAGUGUUGCCGAUCGAUGGAAAGCCAUCCAUUCUUUGAAAUUGUGUAGAACCUGUCUGAAUACACAUGGCCGUCGAACAUGUCGUAGUUCUGAACGAUGCGGUAUAAACGGGUGUCAGUUCCGGCACCAUCCACUGUUCCAUGCAGAAAUACAGAAUAAAUCUACAUCUCCGUCUCUUGAGAAUCAUGCCUUUCAUCAUUGUGGACAAUCGAUAUUAUUCCGGAUUGUUCCUAUCAUCAUUCACGGCAAAACAAAAUCCGUGAAUACUUUCGCUUUUCUCGACGACGACAACGCUCGUUGAAAGAAGUUUAACCGAACAGAUAGGCAUCGAAGGACCGAACGUUCCUUUGUGCUUGAAGUGGACUGGUGAUAUGACCCGUUCGGAAGACGAAUCCCAGCUGGUCACAUUAGAAGUUUCACAGCGUGGCGGACGUAGGCGAUAUCCUCUGAGAAAUGCCCGGACGAUAAGUUGUCUCAAUCUUCUAUCCCAAACCGUACGUUUCGAUGAACUACAACGUGAAUACGGGCACCUCAAGGGUUUAGAAAUUCGCAGUUAUGAGAAUGCCAAGCCACAAUUGUUGAUUGGUCCCCGAGAUUUGUCGCUGGCUGUACCGCUGAAAGUUAAAGAAGGUGAUGAUGGACCCAUAGCAGUAAAAUCUCGGUUAGGCUGGUCCGUGUAUGGUAGCCUCUCCGGCACAAGAAAAUUCGUAAAUUUUCACAACUUCCACGCUUGCGAUUGUGAGAGUCUUAACGAAAUGGUGCGGGAAUACAUUGCGACAGAGGACUGUGGUGUAAGUUCAAAAAUACUUUUGGAAUCCGAUAGCGAUAAGCGUGCCAACAUGUUGCUCGAGCAAACGACCGUUCGAAUCGGUAACCGGUUCACGACUGGGUUGCUAUGGAGACACGAUUACGUAGAGCUACCGGACAGUUAUAGGAUGGCAAUUCGACGACUGGAAUGUUUGGAACGUCGUAUGCACCGUAAUGAAAACGUUAAAGGAAAAUAUCGUCAAAUCGCUGAGUACCAACAAAAAGGUUACGCUCAUUGUGCUUCGACUGAAGAGUUGGAAUCCGCGGAUCCAAGGCGUAUCUGGUACCUUCCUCUCGGCGCGGUUACUAACCCCAACAAACCGGGAAAAGUAAGGUUAAUAUGGGACGCGGCGGCUAGAGUAAACGGUAUUUCUUUAAACUCCGUCCUUCCAUCGGGACCCGGGAUCUUUUGACACCCCUGCCGUCAGUCUUGUUUCUAUUUCGGCAAUAUUCGGUGGCGAUCUCUAGUGACAUCAAGGAGAUGUUUCAUUAGCUUCGGAUUAAUGAUCGCGACCAGCACUCCCAACGUUUCUUAUGGCGCGAAAGCUCAGAUAAAGAGCCAAAAGUAUUUCUGAUGGAUGUCGUCACCUUCGGGGCUACUUGCUCGCCGACAUCUGCGCAAUUUGUCAAAAACAAAAACGCGUUUGAGUUCACUGAUAAAUUCCCACGAGCAGUACAAGGUAUCAUUAAAAACCACUACGUGGAUGAUUACCCUGACCUUUGAAACGGUCGAUGAGGCAAAAUCUGUCGCUGAAGCAGUGCGACUGAUCCAUUCAAAAGGAGGGUUUACCAUCCACAAUUGGAUCUCUAAUAGCAAAUCUGUACUAGGCCACCUCGGUGAGGUUUCGAACGCAGAUAUUAAACACCUGACAUCGGGAAAAGGCCACAUUGCUGAACGUGUUCUGGGUAUGCUGUGGCUUCCAGAGAGUGAUGAACUUGGCUUUGCUACUUCGUUCACUGAACGUGUUACCGUACCGCAAUGAAAAUGGGAAAUAGGCCGACAAAAAGGAUGGUGUUGAAAACAGUAAUAAGCUUUUUGAUCCUUUGGGAUUGCUGGCUACCUUUUUGGUCCACGGGAAAAUUCUUUUACAAGAUAUAUGGCGCACUGGAAUAAAAUGGGACGAUUCGGUCAACGAUAAACAUUUCUAACGCUGGUUACGUUGGAUAGAUUUAAUCAAACAAGUGAGUAACUUCAGAAUUUCUCGAUGCUUCCUUUCACGACGCCAGUGCAAUGCUGUACGACUCGUUGCAAGCACACGUGUUCGUGGAUGCGAGUGAAGCUGCAUACUCAGCUGCACUAUACUUUCGGAUCAGACGUUCAGAUGGAAGCUUUCAAUGCAGUUUGUGGCUGCGAAAACCAAGGUCGCUCCGCUAAAACACGUUACAAUCCCACGGUUAGAAUCAAUGACUGCCUUGUUGGGUGCACGCUUGCUGUUAUUUGUCAUCGAAAACCAUACAAUUUCGGUUCGCAAACGGUUUUUAUGGACCGAUUCUGCUACGGUAUUAUCGUGGAUAUGCUCCGAUCAUCGCACCUAUCGACAGUUCGUAGCCUGCCGCGUAGGAGAGAUUUCAUCAGUUACUAACGAGUGCGAAUGGAGAUGGGUGCCGAUUAAAUUCAACGUCGCUGAUGAAGCUACUAAGGGACCCUGCUUCGACGCGGGUUGUCGUUGGUACGUAGGACCUGACUUUCUAUGUUUGCCCGAAGAUGACUGGCCAAAACAACCUACAACAGUCGCUACAAAAGAAGAAAUUCGUCCGUGUUUUAUCCAUCAAGAGACUCUGCCAACAACGUUAAUUCAUUUCGACCGCUUCUCAAGCUGGAAUCGUCUUUCGAGAUCGUUAGCCUAUUUGGUGAGAGCAAUUACCUUUUGGAAGCGGAAGAAAAUUGGAGUCGCUGGCACAAGACGGUUAGCGCUGAGUCAAGAGGAGAUACGAGAAGGGGAAACAUUGAUUUGGAAACUAGUUCAAAGAGAAGUAUACACCGAUGAACUGGUACUUCUAUCGAGAAACGAACUUCUUCCUGAAAAGGAACGAAUGGGACUCCUGCGAUCAAGCAACCUGUACACGCUGUCACCGAAAUUGGGACAAGAUGGCCUAAUACGCUUGGAUGGGCGUAUAGGAGCAACUGAAUUAGCAUCUUCGAAUGUAAAAUACCCUGUCAUACUUCCUACGUCACACCGUGUAACGAACCUCUUAGUUGACCACUAUCAUCGUAAGUUCUUACAUGGAAACUCGGAAAUUGUAUUCAAUUAUUAUUAUGUGCCAAGACUUCGCGUUCUAAUCAGAAAAAUCGCGAGACAAUGUAAGUGUUGCAAGGUACAGAAAACACGACCGGCUCUGCCAAGGAUGGCACGUUUGUCGCCUUAUGUACGGCCGUUUAGUUUCGUGGGUCUGGACUAUUUCGGGCCUAUGUUGGUGAGAGUCGGAAGAUCGAAUGCGAAAAGGUGGAUCGCGUUGUUCACCUGUCUUACGAUACGAGCGGUACAUGUAGAGGUAGCUCAUGAGUUGUCUACACAGUACUGUAUCUCGUGCAUACGUCGGUUCGUGUGUCGCCGGGGACCAUUCCAUAGAAAUUUAUUCCGACAAUGGGCAAAAUUUCGUGGGAGCCAAUCGUCUUCUUAAAGAACAGAUUCAACAAAUCGAAAUUUCGACUUCCGAAACUUUUACUAACGCUCAAACUAAGUGGGUUUUCAUACCCCCUUCUGCGCCAUACUGGGGAGGCUCCUGGGAGCGAAUGGUGAAAUCUGUGAAAGCUGCUCUAAUUAACCUUCCUCAAGACCGUAAACUUGACGAUGAAUCCUUGCAAACGAUGCUCGUGGAGGCAAAAUAUAUAGUCAACAGUCGUCCUUAAACCUACUUACCUCUCGAUUCGGCGGAACAUGAUGCAUUGACCCCUAACCAUUUCCUCCUCGGCAGUUCGAAUGGCCUUAAGCAACCAGUUUCUACGACCACAGACAAAUACUCCAUUCGAAACUCUUGGGAUUUGAUUCAAAGAAAUCUGGAUUGUUUUUGGGCCCGCUGGAUACGUGAAUAUCUUCCGACGCUAACAAAACGUACGAAAUGGUUUGAUGAGGUUCGGCCCGUUUAACCAGGUGAUUUGGUGGUGAUUAUUGAUGAGGCGCGUAGAAAUAGUUGGAUUCGUAGGCGUGUACUGGAAGCGAUUGCUAGUUCAGAUGGUCGAGUCCGUCAGGUACUAGUUCAAACGUCUUCGGGAAUAUUCCGUCGGCCAGUGUCGAAGCUCGCCGUGUUAGACGUUGGCGAAGUUGGUAAAGAUGAGUCAUCCACCCAUCCUUACGGGGGGGGGUAUGUUGCCGCGGAGUCAACACGAUUGGCAACACGGCUGAGCGCGGAAAAGAACACUGACAUUUCGGACAGCAAGGAGGAAGUGACUUCGAGCAAGCAGUGAUCGUAGUCUGAUAUAAUACGAAUAUAAUUGAUUUUUGUACAAUUAGAUGGGUUAUUGGAUUCUUUAUGCCACUGAUGCUCUUUCCGUCAGUUUGAUUUAAUUACACUAUUUUGUAAGUACUGGUUGAAGUAAUUAUUCUGGCAUAUUAUAAUUAAAAUGAAUUAUUUUAGUUUGAAGCGUAAAUACAUGUACAGCUAUCAAAAAUAGUGUUUCAUUCGGUUCCGUAGGAACAACUGUAUAACGAUUGAGCAAUCGAACUUAAAUGUGUUGAUCAUGUGUCAUCAAUCACUGAAACUGUUUGUGGAAAUUCUACUACGCCGCCUGAGGCGCCCCGCAAAUCAGCUGUUUAUGAAAUUAAAUCUCCAGUGUUGGUGGCUGUGUAUGUAUGGGUUCCCACACCAGUUACCCCAACAACGCUGGAAACGGAACAUACACCAGGAGGAAGGGAGGGAAGAAUAUUGUCGUUCACCUCGAAGUGUCUCAAAUAAAUCUGUACUACCUGUGUAAAAAUCCAAUUCGCAUCAUUGGCCCACUCACUUGUUCCAAAGGUUUUCUUAAAUAAUUUUAGUCGAUUAUACAAAUGCAACAAGCCUGUCUUUGACAUAUCUUUAACUAAUUUUUUGGAAUUUAUUUCAUUGCAAACUCGUUCUAGACGAUUACGGCAUAGCAAUAAUUCGUUUCUCGGGUCACGCUUGUAUGCGUAUAUUCUGUUUAAACCUUCCACCUCUUCGCGUAAUGCAUUUUUCAAUUUUCUGCGAUUAACACUUACGCCACGUUCUUUAUCCUUAAGUAAAUUCCUAAUUUCGAGCUCAAAAAAUAGUUCUUCCUCUGUUAGAAAUGUUAACGACAUAUACUCCAAGUAAGCUCUAUCUAAAUUCAUUUUGUUUUUCUAAAUUUUACUUUAUUCUUCCUCAACAAAUUAUCUCCUGAGUGAUACGCCGCUCCCGAAGUGCUUGCCUAUAGUAUCUACCGAAUAACUCAACUGCUAUUAGAUCGAACGAUCGGUACGAUUGUCGCACACACUGAAAUCAACUUCUUUCUGGCUGUCUCCUGUGUGUGAUCAUUCACACCAGAUUAAAAGCCUACUGUAAGUGAUUGUGAUUUUUUUUAUCAAGGUCACUCUCACCGAACAAAUAGCACCAAAAUCUAAUUGAAUUGAUAAGAACAGGACAGGCUUACAACCAUUUAGAGUUGAUUUUUUUAUCUUAUUUUUUUUCAAACACCCUGAAUACUCCCCUCAGUCCAAUGGACAAAAAUUAACUCUGAUAAAAACAAUAGGUAAUUAUUUCCGAUGGUUCGCCAAAUGUAAGUUAGGUUUUGAUCUAACUUAGCUUAGAGCAUGCGACUUACCGGAUCUCAUCUCAGGGGCUGCCUACACUUAUGAUUUUUUUCCUUUUCCCGGACGCGGGGUUACCAGUUCGAAGGGUGUGAUCAAUUCUAUCCACGUUUGACUGGUUUCGCGAAUUCACUUUCGCGGUUCCCAACGGUAUUUCACUUAGGCCUUCUGUGCGUCUUCCAAAUUUUGGGACAACUUAUUCACGUCACCCCGAGUGCCACUUAUUAUGUCUCGAUUGGAGUUUUAGGCGAUUCCACGUGCCAACGAAUGGCGCCCUGUACACUAUCCCAACACUGUACACUUUAUAUUUUCCCCUGGCGUUUGUUUAACGAAUAAAACUCUCGGAGGUACAAGCCUUGAAAACCGAUUCCAGGCCGUCUCUAACGUCCUUUACCAAGAUCACGCUCACUGUUCUCAGGACUUCGUUCGGUAUCGACGCCGUUCUUUUUUCACACCGCGAAUUUAUCAUCGACCUUUCCGCUUCACGACUCAGAACCAAGAGAGCCCUCCUAUCCGGCCUCGAUCAGUUCCUCAAGAACUGACCGUUUUUGUUUUUAUCGUGCGUAUUGGAACUUCCUUCGCUACCAAGUACGAAUGCGAUCUUCUUUUUUGGUAACCCUCGGUGCGCCGAUCGGGAAAUUUAAUUUGAAUUUAUAUAAACCAAUAAUCUAACUCCUACAUGCAAAAUAAUGUUAACAAUAUUUUUGGUAGAUUAAUUUAUAACAAUAAUUUUAUUAUUUAUGUGACAUGGUAUCAGGUUACAUUGUACAGACACCAAACAAAAACUAAUCGUACGAUAUGCGUCAAAAUUUGACAGACUGUUUAUAAAAAUGUAGCCAACGUUGAGAGAAUAGAAGUUUACCGAUUGGACAAGCGCGGGAAUUUUAAAAUGAAAAUUACGGUUCUUGUUUGAUUAUAUUAAGGUACAAUUGGUCAAUUGGUUUCUCGUCAAAAACAUUUACAGUUAAUUAAAGGGCAACUGUAAUUUUAUGU